GACGAACGCUGGCGGCGGGCUUAACACAUGCAAGUCGAACGGAAAGGCCCUGCUUUUGGGGGGUGCUCGAGUGGCGAACGGGUGAGGAACACGUGAGUAACCUGCCCUUGACGUUGGGAUAACUUCAGGAAACUGGGGCUAAUACCGGGUAGGAGCUCCUGCUGCAUGGGGGGGGUGGGAAAGUUUCGGCGGUUGGGGAUGGACUCGCGGCUUAUCAGCUUGUUGGUGGGGUAGUGGUUUACCAAGGCUUUGACGGGUAGCCGGCCUGAGAGGGUGACCUGCCACAUUGGGACUGAGCUACGGCCCAGACUACUCCGGGAGGCAGCAGUGGGGAAUAUUGCCUAAUGGGCUGAAGCCUGAUGCAGCACAGCCGCGCGCGGGAUAACGGCAUUCGGGUUGUAAUCCGCUUUCGCCUGUGACGAAGCGUGAGUGACGGUAAUGGGUAAAGAAGCACCGGCUAACUACGUG
RNAcentral lists this ribosomal RNA (468 nucleotides) under uncultured bacterium. RNAcentral describes it as "partial 16S ribosomal RNA". It matches the Rfam family "Bacterial small subunit ribosomal RNA", at positions 28 to 507 of the family's 1533-position model. The record is from RNAcentral.